RNAcentral lists this ribosomal RNA (253 nucleotides) under uncultured bacterium. RNAcentral's name for it is "partial 16S ribosomal RNA". It matches the Rfam family "Archaeal small subunit ribosomal RNA", at positions 474 to 727 of the family's 1478-position model. The record is from RNAcentral.
UACCAGCACCCCGAGUGGUCGGGACGAUUAUUGGGCCUAAAGCAUCCGUAGCCGGUUCUACAAGUCUUCCGUUAAAUCCACCUGCUUAACAGAUGGGCUGCGGAGGAUACUAUAGAGCUAGGAGGCGGGAGAGGCAAGCGGUACUUAGUGGGUAGGGGUAAAAUCCGUUGAUCCACUGAAGACCACCAGUGGCGAAGGCGGCUUGCCAGAACGCGCUCGACGGUGAGGGAUGAAAGCUGGGGGAGCAAACCGG